GAUGACACCAAGCUAUGUGGUGUGGUUGACAUGCUGGAGGGAAGGGAUGCCAUCCAGAGGGGCCUGGACAGUCUUGAGAGAUUGGCCUGUGUGAACUUCAUGAAGUUCAACAAGGCCAAGUGCAAAGUCCUGCACCUGAGCAGGGGCAAACCUAAGAACAUAUAAAGGCAGGGGAAUGAGUGCAUAGAGGGCUGCCGUGAAGCAAAGGACUUCAGGGUGUUGGUGGAUGAAAAAAUGAACAUGAUCCAGCAAGGUGUACUUCCAGUCCAAAAAGCCAACCAUAUCCUGGGCAGCAUCAAAGGAAUUGUGAGCAGCAGGUAGAGGGAGGUGAUAUAAGUAUUUAAGGGAAGUGUACAAGGCUGGGCUGGAUGGGGCUUUGAGAAACCUGGUCUAGUGGAAGGUGUCCCUGCCAAUGGCAGGGAGGUUGGAAUUACAUGGUCUUAAGGUCCCUUCCACAAAGCAUUUUGUGAUUCUAAUAAGAAGCAGCCAGCUAGAGAUGAGAAACAAACAGAAGUUAAAAUGGAGGCUGUUUCUCUCAUUAUAGAAAAGAGAAGAUCAGGUUGCAGCUGAAAAGAGAAGACAUUUGAAAGGAAAAGUCAAACAUAAAGAUAAAUAAUUUAUAUCAAUUACAAGAGCAAAAGAGGUGAAUUUGUAUUUUAAAAAUUAAAAAAAAUACACCCCAAAAUACUUUUACUGUCAUUUGGAAUGUGAAUUGAUAUUUUGUGAGUUCUAAAAAGGAAGGACUGCUCAUCUUGGGACAGUUUUCCACUUUGUUUUUUGUAUGUCUUAGGUGUUAAGAACUCAAGAGCCUCAGGACAUUCAACAGUAUUCGCAAUGACCAGCUAGCAUGUUUGCAAAUACCUGUUUGUGGAGCACCCACUACUACAAACUGCUUCAGGAUGUAGGCCCGAUGCUGUCUUCUGCCCUUUCUGAAACCUGCAGUGCUUGUACCUUCAAGCAGAACUGCAGUGAGAGACUUGAGUGAUGAGGAUACACCCCCAUCACCAGUUCAGUUUUGCCUCACUCUUCUCCCCUGCCUUUCCACAGCCUUUAUUACUAGCUGAAGGUAAUUUUCUUCCCUGCCCUUCACCUUCUUUUCCAUCUGCUUAGAGUCAUAGCCUCACUUUUUCUUCCUAGGAGCCUCAUCUAGCUGCUGCAUGUUAGUGAUAGAGAUUUUAAGUGGCUGGAGAGAGCUGAAAGAGCAAUGGAGUGGGGAAGGGGGAAGGUGGUUAUGACAGAGAAGGCAGCACCUGAUACUUUGCAAUGAUUCUUCACUGUGGUGGAAAAUCCCUCCUCCUACUGUAGAAGGACCUCUUGCCACGGCUACAAGCUGCAUCCUUUUGUCAAGGAAGAAAUGCAGGCUACAAGGCCUAUCUCUCGCUCACAGCUUUACUGCCUAGCCUGUCAUAGUGAACCACCUUGCAGAAAGGAAUUUUACAGGUGAUUUCAGAGCACUGGGAAUAGGCUGCAUUGUGACCCCUCUUCAUCACCAGAGACAUAUCUCUGUGGGCAUAUGGGAACAAGCGUAAGCAUUUUCUUGGUUUUAUGGUCCACUAGCUACAUAGUUUAAUAAGCAUGAGCUGUGAUCUAGCAAAUGUUUAAUCACCUGUAGACAGCGUGAUCUGUGGGCAAAAUGAACUUCAGUUCGUCUGCCAUCCUUCCAUGUAGAAUGACCAACAUUAGUCCCAUUCGUUUUCCUUCUAAUUUAGCUCAGACGGUGAAAAGGAGAAUAUUAAGAGCUGCUAGAACCCUGUCGCCAUGAAGAAUCCUUUUGGCAUUAACACCCAUGCAUCUCAAGAGAGAGAUUAAGUCCAAGUGUUUGAGAAAACAUGUUUAGGGUCAGACGGGUAUAUUUAUCACUCUUAACAUGAUGCAUUGGGAGGAAACAGAAAUAUUGUGUUCCAUGCAACAAUUUUGCCUGAUGUAUGACAGGAUUCUGUUCCAACAUGGGGGAAACAGAGCAUCACUGAGCAAAAUGUAGUGCC
This is a long non-coding RNA of Anser cygnoides (Swan goose), 1985 nucleotides long. The record is from Ensembl. NCBI's taxonomy places the organism in Eukaryota, Metazoa, Chordata, Aves, Anseriformes, Anatidae.